UAGGGUGUUUCCAGAAAACGCACUUGCACUGCGUAAGUCAAAACAUUUCCUUUACAGUUGACAAAGAAAGCAUUUAAGUAAUAUUGCCUUCCUUGUAAAAAUGCAGUCUCAUCACAUUCUUUGGACAACAUUAUACUAGGAAGAAUUAUUUCGAUCUGUAAUAAUUAAAACGUUUUUUGACUGAACAUAUUUCAACAUUCGUAACUGAUCACUGUACGGGCAGGUAGUGACAGGUGGUGUAGUGUGUGCUGUAAUGAAUAUACCGAAGCAGAAGUUUCCAGGAUUAGCCGUUAUAUUCCGAAUAAAUUGAGUUGUUAUUUGUUUCACUUUACAUAGAUUUGUGAGCGCGUGUUAUUUAUUAUUUAAUAUUCUUGAAAGUUUUUAUAAUCGUUCACGGGUGGCGUAUACAAUGAAAGCAGUUUGGUACUAAUGGACAUUUUAUAGAAGUAGUGCAAAUGAUAUUCUGACGUGAAACUGGAGUAAAUGCACGGUUUAUUUUAUUCACGGUGUGUUGAUUAUUAAAAGUGCUGCAUCUGUUUUAAUUAGACGUUGCUCAUUAUGUCGACAGUGGACGCCGAAGACAAAUUCAACUACACAAUUCGUGUAAGGUUCCUAAAAUGGCGCCUGUGUUCUCUCAGUGUUCAGUUCAGACCUGCGGAUAUUAUGUCGGGGAAUUCAAGAUACUCAGUGACUGGAUUUUGUGUCAGGUGAUGGACUUCGGUGUUUCAUAACAGUACGUGACCUUGUGGACUACUCAUGGAGUAGGCUGAUUUUCCUUCGCCUUGAAGAUGGUUUGGAAUCUUCUAAUCGACUGUUUGAUCCAGUUAGGAAAUCCGGUCGUAUUUAAUAUCUCGGUGACCACUACCACAUUAUCUCUUCAAGGGCAUGCAGGUCAUCCGUGAUCUUCGUUUACUUGUCAGAAUUUGGUGCAGGUUAUGUGGGGAGACCAGUGUGGCAGAACGACUUCGUCUCAGUCAGUACGCAAGCAAAAGCAAUAGCAAUAUUAUUGUAACUUUUCCUAUUUUGCGAGGCUGUUGACUUGGUUUGCUAUAUUGCAGUCUCCUGUCCCACUCAUGCCAGGAGACAUUUCUCCAUGUUGUUCUCAUUCAUUGGCAUCUAUCACCUUCUCCUACUUUUCCCCUCUCCUAGCAGUGUUACCCCACUCCUUUCUCUUUAUUCGUAGAUCAGUGUACGAUUCUGUACUUUCUAACAGACAACAGCGUUGCAGCACAGAAGGAAGAAGAUUAAAUCUAACUAAAUACAGCCCAAUUAUAUAGGAUUUGAGACUUUCGCGGCGAGUACAAUCUAUAAAAUCUUC
RNA transcript from Zootermopsis nevadensis, 1318 nucleotides. RefSeq lists it as uncharacterized. NCBI's taxonomy places the organism in Eukaryota, Metazoa, Arthropoda, Insecta, Blattodea, Termopsidae. The record is from RefSeq and is a predicted model, not a curated record.